GAUGAACGCUGGCGGCGUGCCUAACACAUGCAAGUCGAACGGAGCUGUCGGAGCUUGCUUUGACAGCUUAGUGGCGAACGGGUGAGUAACGCGUGAGCAACCUGCCCUUGAGAGGGGGAUAACAUCGGGAAACCGAUGCUAAUACCGCAUAAAAUAUGCAGAUGGCAUCAUUGGCAUAUCAAAGGAGAAAUCCGCUCAAGGAUGGGCUCGCGUCUGAUUAGAUAGUUGGUGAGGUAACGGCCCACCAAGUCGACGAUCAGUAGCCGGACUGAGAGGUUGACCGGCCACAUUGGGACUGAGACACGGCCCAGACUCCUACGGGAGGCAGCAGUGGGGAAUAUUGGGCAAUGGGGGGAACCCGUGACCCAGCAACGCCGCGUGAAGGAAGAAGGCCUUCGGGUUGUAAACUUCUUUGACAGGGGAAGAAGGAAGUGACGGUACCCUGAGAACAAGCUCCGGCUAACUACGUG
RNAcentral lists this ribosomal RNA (470 nucleotides) under uncultured bacterium. RNAcentral describes it as "bacterial SSU rRNA". It matches the Rfam family "Bacterial small subunit ribosomal RNA", at positions 28 to 507 of the family's 1533-position model. The record is from RNAcentral.